This 734-nucleotide ribosomal RNA is filed under the name uncultured bacterium. Its description in RNAcentral is "bacterial SSU rRNA". It matches the Rfam family "Bacterial small subunit ribosomal RNA", at positions 770 to 1504 of the family's 1533-position model. The record is from RNAcentral.
AAACAGGAUUAGAUACCCUGGUAGUCACGCCGUAAACGAUGUCUACUUGAAGGUUGUGGCCUUGAGCCGUGGCUUUCGGAGCUAACGCGUUAAGUAGACCGCCUGGGGAGUACGGUCGCAAGAUUAAAACUCAAAUGAAUUGACGGGGGCCCGCACAAGCGGUGGAGCAUGUGGUUUAAUUCGAUGCAACGCGAAGAACCUUACCUACUCUUGACAUCCAGAGAAUUCGCUAGAGAUAGCUUAGUGCCUUCGGGAACUCUGAGACAGGUGCUGCAUGGCUGUCGUCAGCUCGUGUUGUGAAAUGUUGGGUUAAGUCCCGCAACGAGCGCAACCCUUAUCCUUGUUUGCCAGCACGUAAUGGUGGGAACUCCAGGGAGACUGCCGGUGAUAAACCGGAGGAAGGUGGGGACGACGUCAAGUCAUCAUGGCCCUUACGAGUAGGGCUACACACGUGCUACAAUGGCGUAUACAGAGGGCUGCCAACCAGCGAUGGUGAGCGAAUCCCACAAAGUACGUCGUAGUCCGGAUCGGAGUCUGCAACUCGACUCCGUGAAGUCGGAAUCGCUAGUAAUCGUGAAUCAGAAUGUCACGGUGAAUACGUUCCCGGGCCUUGUACACACCGCCCGUCACACCAUGGGAGUGGGCUGCACCAGAAGUAGAUAGCUUAACCUUCGGGAGGGCGUUUACCACGGUGUGGUUCAUGACUGGGGUGAAGUCGUAACAAGGUAACCGUA